CACGAACCGUACGAACGUUAUUCGGAAUUACUGGGCGUAAAGGGCUCGUAGGCGGCCAACUAAGUCAGACGUGAAAUCCCUCGGCUUAACCGGGGAACUGCCUUUGAUACUGGCGAUCUUGAGUUCGGGAGAGGUGAGUGGAACUGCGAGUGUAGAGGUGAAAUUCGUAGAUAUUCAGAAGAACACCAGUGGCGAAGGCGGCUCACUGGCCCGGUACUGACGCUGAGGUGCGAAAGCGUGGGGAGCAAACAGG
RNAcentral lists this ribosomal RNA (253 nucleotides) under uncultured bacterium. RNAcentral describes it as "partial 16S ribosomal RNA". It matches the Rfam family "Bacterial small subunit ribosomal RNA", at positions 524 to 776 of the family's 1533-position model. The record is from RNAcentral.